RNAcentral lists this transfer RNA (84 nucleotides) under Candidatus Woesearchaeota archaeon. Its description in RNAcentral is "tRNA-Ser". It matches the Rfam family "tRNA". From Rfam's summary of the family: Transfer RNA (tRNA) molecules are approximately 80 nucleotides in length. Their secondary structure includes four short double-helical elements and three loops (D, anti-codon, and T loops). The record is from RNAcentral. Lineage: Archaea; Nanobdellati; Candidatus Woesearchaeota.
GCCGUGGUCGCAUAACCUGGUAGUGCGCUGGCCUUGAGAGCCAGUUUCCGAAAGGAUAUCUCGGUUCAAAUCCGGGUCACGGCG